UCCAGGGUGUAAACGCUGCUCGCUUGAUGUUAGUUGGGCUCCGAGCCCAACUAGUGUCGGAGAGAAGUUGUUAAGCGAGCUGCCUGGGAAGUACGGUCGCAAGGCUGAAACUUAAAGGAAUUGGCGGGGGAGCACUGCAACGGGUGGAGCGUGCGGUUUAAUUGGAUUCAACGCCGGAAACCUUACCAGGGGAGACGGUUACAUGAAGGCCAGGCUGAUGACCUUGCCUGAUUUUCCGAGAGGUGGUGCAUGG
RNAcentral lists this ribosomal RNA (253 nucleotides) under uncultured bacterium. RNAcentral's name for it is "partial 16S ribosomal RNA". It matches the Rfam family "Archaeal small subunit ribosomal RNA", at positions 745 to 997 of the family's 1478-position model. The record is from RNAcentral.